AGAGUGAACGCUGGCGGUAGGCCUAACACAUGCAAGUCGAACGGCAGCACGGUAAGAGCUUGCUCUUAUGGGUGGCGAGUGGCGGACGGGUGAGGAAUACAUCGGAAUCUACCUUUUGGUGGGGGAUAACGUAGGGAAACUUACGCUAAUACCGCAUACGCCCUUCGGGGGAAAGCCGGGGACCAGCAAUGGCCUGGCGCUGAUAGAUGAGCCGAUGUCGGAUUAGCUAGUUGGUGAGGUAAUGGCUCACCAAGGCGACGAUCCGUAGCUGGUCUGAGAGGAUGAUCAGCCACACUGGAACUGAGACACGGUCCAGACUCCUACGGGAGCAGCAGUGGGGGAAUCGUUGCGCAAUGGGCGAAAGCCUGACGCAGCCAUGCCGCGUGAAUGAUGAAGGUCUUAGGA
Molecule: ribosomal RNA, 405 nt
Filed under: uncultured soil bacterium
Lineage: Bacteria
Description: bacterial SSU rRNA
Rfam family: Bacterial small subunit ribosomal RNA
Source: RNAcentral